RNAcentral lists this ribosomal RNA (282 nucleotides) under uncultured prokaryote. RNAcentral describes it as "partial 16S ribosomal RNA". It matches the Rfam family "Bacterial small subunit ribosomal RNA", at positions 524 to 817 of the family's 1533-position model. The record is from RNAcentral.
UACGUAGGGGCUAGCGUUAUCCGGAAUUACUGGGCGUAAAGGGUGCGUAGGUGGUUUCUUAAGUCAGAGGUGAAAGGCUACGGCUCAACCGUAGUAAGCCUUUGAAACUGGGAAACUUGAGUGCAGGAGAGGAGAGUGGAAUUCCUAGUGUAGCGGUGAAAUGCGUAGAUAUUAGGAGGAACACCAGUUGCGAAGGCGGCUCUCUGGACUGUAACUGACACUGAGGCGCGAAAGCGUGGGGAGCAAACAGGAUUAGAUACCCCGGUAGUCCCUGAGCGGGCU